This 548-nucleotide ribosomal RNA is filed under the name uncultured Glomeromycotina. Its description in RNAcentral is "SSU rRNA". It matches the Rfam family "Eukaryotic small subunit ribosomal RNA", at positions 548 to 1098 of the family's 1831-position model. The record is from RNAcentral. Lineage: Eukaryota; Fungi; Glomeromycota.
UUGGAGGGCAAGUCUGGUGCCAGCAGCCGCGGUAAUUCCAGCUCCAAUAGCGUAUAUUAAAGUUGCUGCAGUUAAAAAGCUCGUAGUUGAAUUUCGGGACCAUCAUGUCGGUCGUGCCUCGGUACGUACUGGUAUUGUUGGUUUCUCCCUUCUGACGAACCAUGAUGUCAUUUAUUUGGUGUUGUGGGGAAUCAGGACUGUUACUUUGAAAAAAUUAGAGUGUUUAAAGCAGGCUCACGCUUGAAUACAUUAGCAUGGAAUAAUGAAAUAGGACGUUUGAUUCUAUUUUGUUGGUUUCUAGGAUCGACGUAAUGAUUAAUAGGGAUAGUUGGGGGCAUUAGUAUUCAAUUGUCAGAGGUGAAAUUCUUGGAUUUAUUGAAGACUAACUAUUGCGAAAGCAUUUGCCAAGGAUGUUUUCAUUAAUCAAGAACGAAAGUUAGGGGAUCGAAGACGAUCAGAUACCGUCGUAGUCUUAACCAUAAACUAUGCCGACUAGGGAUCGGAUGAUGUUAAUUUUUUAAUGACUCAUUCGGCGCCUUACGGGAAAC